CCAGACUCCUACGGGAGGCAGCAGUGAGGAAUAUUGGUCAAUGGGCGCUAGCCUGAACCAGCCAAGUAGCGUGAAGGAUGACUGCCCUAUGGGUUAUAAACUUCUUUUAUAUGGGAAUAAAGUGCAGUAUGUAUACUGCUUUGCAUGUACCUUAUGAAUAAGGAUCGGCUAACUCCGUGCCAGCAGCCGCGGUAAUACGGAGGGUGCGAGCGUUAAUCGGAAUUACUGGGCGUAAAGCGCUCGUAGGCGGUAUGUCAAGUCAAGGGUGAGAUCCCCGCGCUCAACGUGGGAACUGCCUUUGAAACUGGCAAACUGGAGUGUGUGAGAGGAUAGUGGAAUUCCAGGUGUAGGAGUGAAAUCCGUAGAUAUCUGGAGGAACAUCAGUGGCGAAGGCGACUAUCUGGCACAUAACUGACGCUGAGGAGCGAAAGCGUGGGUAGCAAACAGGAUUAGAUACCCCAGUA
This 464-nucleotide ribosomal RNA is filed under the name uncultured bacterium. Its description in RNAcentral is "bacterial SSU rRNA". It matches the Rfam family "Bacterial small subunit ribosomal RNA", at positions 331 to 792 of the family's 1533-position model. The record is from RNAcentral.